CACCAACUUGGGAAGGUCUUUUACCAGUGGUUCAAAAUACCAGCCACCACUUGUAUUGAGCAAGAAGAUGACCUAUCUCUUGAGGAGUCAGUGUACAUUAUCAGAGAACUGGCUGCUGAACUGGACAGAGUGGUACAGUCCAAGAAGUUAUCCUUGAUGACUCGAAAGAUUAAAAAUAAAGGAAGUAACAAAGAACAUGAAGAACAACAGUAUUAUAUUUUGCAGUGGGCAAAAGAUCUUGAGAACAUAAAGACAAAACAAAUGGACAAGAAAGAGACCUCCUCUGAGCAGUUUAACAAAGCAAAAAAAAUCUUGUCUGACUGGUUUUGGAAACUGAAAGAUUUGAAACAGAACUCAGUAUGUCCAAAGGGGGGAUGGGAAGAAACACUGAGGGAUCUUCACAAAGAGUGGAAGCAGGGAGAGUCCAGCAUGCUUCCAGUAAUGGACUGGAUGGUAUGGGCUGUUCUACAGUCAGAAUGCU
Molecule: long non-coding RNA, 481 nt
Organism: Sinocyclocheilus grahami
Lineage: Eukaryota; Metazoa; Chordata; Actinopteri; Cypriniformes; Cyprinidae
Exons: 5
Source: RefSeq, a predicted model, not a curated record